GACGAACGCUGGCGGCGUGCUUAACACAUGCAAGUCGAACGGAAAGGCCCUGCUUUUGUGGGGUGCUCGAGUGGCGCACGGGUGAGUAACGCGUGAGUAACCUGCCCUUGACUUUGGGAUAACUUCAGGAAACUGGGGCUAAUACCGGAUAGGAGCUCCUGCUGCAUGGUGGGGGUUGGAAAGUUUCGGCGGUUGGGGAUGGACUCGCGGCUUAUCAGCUUGUUGGUGGGGUAGUGGCUUACCAAGGCUUUGACGGGUAGCCGGCCUGAGAGGGUGACCGGCCACAUUGGGACUGAGAUACGGCCCAGACUCCUACGGGAGGCAGCAGUGGGGAAUAUUGCACAAUGGGCGGAAGCCUGAUGCAGCAACGCCGCGUGCGGGAUGACGGCUUUCGGGUUGUAAACCGCUUUCGCCUGUGACGAAGCGUGAGUGACGGUAAUGGGUAAAGAAGCACCGGCUAACUACGUG
RNAcentral lists this ribosomal RNA (468 nucleotides) under uncultured bacterium. Its description in RNAcentral is "partial 16S ribosomal RNA". It matches the Rfam family "Bacterial small subunit ribosomal RNA", at positions 28 to 507 of the family's 1533-position model. The record is from RNAcentral.